This 386-nucleotide ribosomal RNA is filed under the name uncultured prokaryote. RNAcentral describes it as "bacterial SSU rRNA". It matches the Rfam family "Archaeal small subunit ribosomal RNA", at positions 339 to 725 of the family's 1478-position model. The record is from RNAcentral.
GCGCGAAAACUUUACAAUGCUGGCAACAGCGAUAAGGGAACCUCGAGUGCCAGGUUACAAAUCUGGCUGUCGAGAUGCCUAAAAAGCAUUUCAUAGCAAGGGCCGGGCAAGACCGGUGCCAGCCGCCGCGGUAACACCGGCGGCUCGAGUGGUAACCGUUAUUAUUGGGUCUAAAGGGUCUGUAGCCGGCCGGAUAAGUCUCUUGAGAAAUCUGGCAGCUUAACUGUCAGGCUUUCAGGAGAUACUGUCUGGCUCGAGGCCGGGAGAGGUGAGAGGUACUUCAGGGGUAGGGGUGAAAUCUUGUAAUCCUUGAAGGACAAACAGUGGCGAAGGCGUCUCACCAGAACGGACCUGCCGGCAAGGGACGAAAGCUAGAGGCACGAACC